This is a long non-coding RNA of Pipra filicauda (Wire-tailed manakin), 2097 nucleotides long. RefSeq lists it as uncharacterized. Lineage: Eukaryota; Metazoa; Chordata; Aves; Passeriformes; Pipridae. The transcript is spliced from 2 exons. The record is from RefSeq and is a predicted model, not a curated record.
UCGGGCCGGGAACAAUGCCCGGCUGGGCGGGGGCUGGGCCGCUCCGAGCGCCCCGCGCGGUGCCUCGGCCCGCGCCCGCCCCGGGGAAGCGCCGCCCGCGCGCCCCGGAGCUGCGCGCCUGCGCGGCCACUCCGCGCUUGCGCGCGGGCUGCGGUCCCGGCGGGGCCGUGAGGGAUCGGGAGCUGGAGCGGAGGGAGCCGCGGGGCCGUCCGGUAACAAAGGGAGCCACUCGCCGCUGAGGGGCGGGAACGCACGGGGCUGGGGAGAGAUUCACCAGCGCAGCGGCUGCUUACGUGUGGGGGCCAAGCUGCUCGGGGUCUUAAAAAGGAUCGCAGAAUAAUCAAGGCUGGAAGAGACCUUUGAGAUCAUCACGCCUAACGUCAGCCCAGCACUGCUAGUGCAACCCCUAAACCACUGCACCACAUCACCCAGCGCCAGAUCCAGACUCCUCCUGAACACCUCCAGGACUCCAGUCCAGUGACUCCACCUGGGCAACCUAUUCCAAUGCCUGACCUCACUAACAGAAAAAAAUUAAUAUUUAAUCUUAAUAAUCUUAAUCUCCCUUGUUUCAGUUUGAGGCCAUUUCCUCUGGUCCCCUCACUGCAGGCACGGCAGGAGAGACCGGCCCCCACGUCACCACAGCCUCCGUUCAGGUGUCCAUAUGACAAGAGGGAACGGCCUCUGCUUGCACCAGGGGAGGAUCAGGCAGGCUAUUAGGAAAAAUUUCAUCAUUGGAAGUAUGGUCAAGCACUGGAACAGGCUGCCCAGGGUAAUGAUGGAGUCACCAUCCCUAGAAGUGUUCAAAAACCGUGUCAAUGUGGUGCCUGGGGACAUCUUUUAAUACUGGACCUGUCAGUGUUAGGUUAAUGGUUGGACUCCCAUGGUCUUGGUGGUACUUUCCACCUUAAUUGAUUCUAUUAUGCUAUUCUAACAGUAAGAGUGAAAAAAAAAAUAUCCGUCCUGGAGUCCACAAGCUGUUUACCUUGUAAGAGCUGUGACUCCAUUGCUAUUAAAUGGUACUUACUCUGCACUUUCCUGAAAUUGUAAUUUUUUUCAUGUUACUGAAGCCUGCAGGCUCUCACUACACACUCCCUUCCCUCAGAUGUAUCUUCAUCAUCAGUAAUUUUUCUCCCUUAAGUGGGUUUAUAUAUCAGCUUCACUUCAUAUCUAAGUACCUCUUGGGUCAAGAAGACAUCAUGUGAUUGCCAUUACCAGGCAAAGUUGCCAUCCUGAGUCGCUUGGCACUGCAGGUUGUAAACAUCACCCUGCGUCACCUCUUAAGUCUUGAAAGUUGACUCCCUUUUUAGAAUCGUAGAAUAUCUCGGGUUGGAAGGGAUCGAUAAGGAUCUAGUCCAACUGCCUACUCCUCUCAGGACUAUCCAAAACUACAGCCUUUGUGGGACUUAUUUACAUAAAUGUAUUUGGAUGAAGGAGCAAGUGUAAUGAUGUUUUUCUUGAUGCUUCUUGGACAUUUGUGUAAUAAAUAAGAAAUGGUAAAAUAAUUUACUCGUCAAAAUAUAUAUAUUGUACUUUCCGUAUAUUAUAGCUAAUGCUUUGUGGGGACUGGGGAGUUGUGAGCUGCGGAAUAGUUAACUGCCGUGUUACUAUUAUAAGUUGACUGUCCUGCAGCUGGUAGUUCCCUAGCUGGCAAGAUAAAGUAUUCUGCUUUACUGAGCACGUGUACUAUAUCCUGUUUUUCUAAAAAUAUUGUCUAAGUGUACUCAUUAGAAAAAGAAGAAGGGAGCAAGGAUCGGGGGGGAGUCAAGGACAAAGAUGAUAAAGAACAGCCAAAGAGAACGUCGGGGGACCAUUCCCAUACCCAACUCCAAGGACAUUUGAGCUAAUUAAAACUGCUGAUGGAAAGUACCUGGCGAUUGGAAUAGGCCUACAACAGAACCAACCAGAACAAAGCCCGCGAACUCAAGCCCAAUGAAGAGCUAACAAGUGACUAUGGGAGGGGAGUUGAAAAAAGUAUAAAAGUUUGUCUCUAUUGCGCUUGCGGGCCGUUGAUGGAGCGAGGGUCUGCUCCGGCCGCCCAGCACGCUGGUUUGCUUAUUUGCACUUUAUAUAAAUCUUAUAAUAAAAAUUGCUGCUAUA